Molecule: long non-coding RNA, 477 nt
Filed under: Elaeis guineensis (African oil palm)
Lineage: Eukaryota; Viridiplantae; Streptophyta; Magnoliopsida; Arecales; Arecaceae
Description: long non-coding RNA (EGUI_LNC002762)
Source: RNAcentral
CCGACUCCCGCGACGGGCCCGGCUGACCAUAGGAGGGAUCCGAAGUUCUACCCGGCGUCCUUCAGCUGGCCACCGACCUAAGGUCGGACGACUCCAGGCGCCGUACUACCGCCAGGGACUGUCAGCCCUGACAACGGCAUGCGGCGCUACCGCCUAGCGGCAUUAUCCCGCCUAUAGCUUUGUCAACCUUAGUGAUUUGACGGUCCCAUGGCGAUUUGACACCUUUACAACGACUCUGACAUUCUACAGUGAAUUGACAAUUCUUCAAUUGUCCGCGCCAUUAAUGACGGCGCCAUACCAUGCUCCACUAUAUAUAUCAGGGAAGGCAACAGUGCUUGGGGGUUCUUCCGAAAACUCUCAGGCUUGCUCCCUUUCUUUCUCUCCCUUGAUUGAGCUCUCUGUCUUCAUUUCACUGUUGCCCAGUCUCCUUUCUGACUUGACCGUCGGAGGGUCCCCGCCGGAGCCGCCUCCGGUCAG